GCGGGGUUCCAAUUGCGUGCGCGUAUGGAUGCUCCUUUCCCCGCCGCCUUUCUAGCAACUAGUUGAUGUUAUGAUGCAUCGUUGGUCCGGCGUACGAUGGCGCCUGGUGCGAUGUAUGCGUCCGGAAGCCCUUUCAGCCUCCAGGCAUGUCCCCACCUGCCUCACAGCCACCGACGCAUCUCACGGCGGGGUUCCAAUUGCGUGCACGUAUGGAUGCUCCUUUCCCCGCCGCCUUUCUAGCAACUAGUUGAUGUUAUGAUGCAUCGUUGGUCCGGUGUACGACGGCGCCUGGUGCGAUUUAUGCGUCCGGAAGCCCUUUCAGCCUCCAGGCAUGUCCCCACCUGCCUCACAGCCACCGACGCAUCUCACGGCGGGGUUCCAAUUGCGUGCGCGUAUGGAUGCUCCUUUCGCCGCCUUUCCAGCAACUAGUUGAUGUUAUGAUGCAUCGUUGGUCCGGCGUACGACGGCGCCUGAUGCGAUUUAUGCGUCCGGAAGCCCUUUCAGCCUCCAGGCAUGUCCCCACCUGCCUCACAGCCACCGACGCAUCUCACGGCGGGGGUCUAAUUGUGUGCGCGUAUGGAUGCUCCUUUCGCCGCCGCUUUCUAGCAACUAGUUGAUGUUAUGAUGCAUCGUUGGUCCGGCGUACGACGGCGCCUGAUGCGAUUUAUGCGUCCGGAAGCCCUUUCAGCCUCCAGGCACGUCCCCACCUGCCUCACAGCUACCGACGCAUCUCACGGCGGGGGUCUAAUUGUGUGCGCGUAUGGAUGCUCCUUUCGCCGCCGCUUUCUAGCAACUAGUUGAUGUUAUGAUGCAUCGUUGGUCCGGCGUACGACGGCGCCUGAUGCGAUUUAUGCGUCCGGAAGCCCUUUCAGCCUCCAGGCAUGUCCACACCUGCCUCACAGCCACCGACGCAUCUCACGGCGGGGGUCUAAUUGCGUGCGCGUAUGGAUGCUCCUUUCCCCGCCGCAUUUCUAGCAACUAGUUGAUGUUAUGAUGCAUCGUUGGUCCGGUGUACGAUGGCGCCUGAUGCGAUUUAUGCGUCCGGAAGCCCUUUCAGCCUCCAGGCAUGUCCCCACCUGCCUCACAGCCACCGACGCAUCUCACGGCGGGGGUCUAAUUGCGUGCGCGUAUGGAUGCUCCUUUCGCCGCCUUUCUAGCAACUAGUUGAUGUUCUGAUGCAUCGUUGGUCCGGCGUACGACGGCGCCUGAUGCGAUUUAUGCGUCCGGAAGCCCUUUCAGCCUCCAGGCAUGUCCCUACCUGCCUCACAGCCACCGACGCAUCUCACGGCGGGGUUCCAAUUGUGUGCGCGUAUGGAUGCUCCUUUCCCCGCCGCCUUUCUAGCAACUAGUUGAUGUUAUGAUGCAUCGUUGGUCCGGUGUACGACGGCGCCUGAUGCGAUUUAUGCGUCCGGAAGCCCUUUCAGCCUCCAGGCACGUCCCCACCUGCCUCACAGCCACCGAGGCAUCUCACGGCGAGGGUCUAAUUGCGUGCGCGUAUGGAUGCUCCUUUCGCCGCCUUUCCAGCAACUAGUUGAUGUUAUGAUGCAUCGUUGGUCCGGCGUACGACGGCGCCUGAUGCGAUUUAUGCGUCCGGAAGCCCUUUCAGCCUCCAGGCAUGUCCCCACCUGCCUCACAGCCACCGACGCAUCUCACGGCGGGGUUCCAAUUGCGUGCGCGUAUGGAUGCUCCUUUCGCCGCCUUUCCAGCAACUAGUUGAUGUUAUGAUGCAUCGUUGGUCCGGUGUACGACGGCGCCUGAUGCGAUUUAUGCGUCUGAAAGCCCUUUCAGCCUCCAGGCAUGUCCCCACCUGCCUCACAGCCACCGACGCAUCUCACGGCGGGGUUCCAAUUGCGUGCGCGUAUGGAUGCUCCUUUCC
This 1876-nucleotide long non-coding RNA is filed under the name Volvox carteri. RNAcentral's name for it is "long non-coding RNA (VCAR_LNC003632)". The record is from RNAcentral. Lineage: Eukaryota; Viridiplantae; Chlorophyta; Chlorophyceae; Chlamydomonadales; Volvocaceae.